UUAACUUUUGGUGUUAUGGCACAUUAAAUUUUGAUUUUAAAGGAAACAAGUCGUGUUGUUAAGGUUAAU
Molecule: transfer RNA, 69 nt
Filed under: Navis striatus
Lineage: Eukaryota; Metazoa; Arthropoda; Arachnida; Ixodida; Argasidae
Description: Argas striatus tRNA-Gln
Source: RNAcentral